AAUAGCUGGUUUCCUCCGAAGUUCCCUCAGGAUAGCUGUAAUGCAUUUAGUUAAGGGGAGUAGAGAUAUGGGUAGAGGUGCAGGGAGCCUUCGGGUUCUCAACUUAUUUCCAAACUUCGAACCUCCUUGUUAGGCAUUUACCUAACUGGAAAUGCUUAAAUGAAUUAGCGUUACAAGUGGGCUCUGACCGGUAAGCGGUCAUGGCGAAAUGGGAUGAACCAUACGUCUGAAUAAGGUGCCGAAAUGUACUAUCACUGAUACCAUAAAGGGAGUCCAUGUAUUUAGACAGCAGGUCGGUGCCCCUAAAAGCAGGUAUCCGCUAAAGAGUGUGUUAAAACUCACCUGCCGAAUACUAGGGCCCCGAAAAUGAAUGGCGCAUAUAGUACUACCGAUCUCAGACAUCAGUUCUAUUGAACUGAGAGUAGGGGGAUGUGGACAUUUUUGUGAAGGUGCAAUGUGAGUUGGACUGGAAGAAUGUCUAUUACAGAUCCUAAUUGAAGUAGCGAUUAUCCAGGCUUGUAUCCUGGGGGCUGAUGAGGAGUAGGGUUUCUGGACAACUUAAACAGAUCCAGAGUUAGUCGAUCCUAAUCUCAAUAAUGGGAGAAAGGGAGUACAGUUGAUAUUCUGUAACUGACAACAGUUCGCGGCAACGCAUACUAUUUUUCUCCGCCAAUCUUAUACCGUUGGUAGGGAUCUCUUUCCUACAUGACAGUACUAAUACCCAGGGAAACUGGUCAUCAGGCGAACUGCGGCGUUCUGCUGGCAAAACAUAGCUUCGGUUAUGUCAAUGGCUAUUGGAUUGGUCCAUGAAGCGAAAAAUAGUUUACUGUGUCACUCGUACCGAUAACCGCAUCAGGUCUUCUAGGUAAGUAGCCUAUGGCCAUUGAGGCAUGAUAGUUCAGGGAAUUCGGCCAAUUAGAGCUGUAACUUCGGGAUAAAGC
Molecule: non-coding RNA, 941 nt
Filed under: Trichomonas vaginalis G3
Lineage: Eukaryota; Parabasalia; Trichomonadida; Trichomonadidae
Description: Eukaryotic large subunit ribosomal RNA
Rfam family: Eukaryotic large subunit ribosomal RNA
Source: Rfam by way of RNAcentral